RNAcentral lists this long non-coding RNA (333 nucleotides) under Mytilus galloprovincialis (Mediterranean mussel). Lineage: Eukaryota; Metazoa; Mollusca; Bivalvia; Mytilida; Mytilidae. The record is from RNAcentral.
UGUGAAAUCACAUGGCUGCCAUGGAUAAAAAUAGAACAUAUGGAUACAAUGCAGUUUUUUUGGCUUAUAUCUCAAAAACUAAAGCCUAUAGAGCUAACCUGACAUGGGGCAAACAUAUUCAUUAGGCCAGGAACUACCUGCUCUGAAGUGACAAUCAAUCUUUGGGUUAUUUCAGCUGAAUUGAAUAGUUUGAAUUGUUUUACAUUUUUCGUUUCAGGACUUUUUUUUUACUCAUUGUUGUAGGCAUACAUUGACCAAUAGUUGUUAAUUUCUGUGUCAUUUGGUCUCUUGUAGAUAGUUAUCUCAUUGGAAUUCAUACCAUAUCUUCACUUC